RNAcentral lists this ribosomal RNA (909 nucleotides) under Pseudohelotium pineti. RNAcentral describes it as "LSU rRNA". It matches the Rfam family "Eukaryotic large subunit ribosomal RNA", at positions 38 to 964 of the family's 3401-position model. The record is from RNAcentral. Lineage: Eukaryota; Fungi; Ascomycota; Leotiomycetes; Helotiales; Helotiaceae.
GCAUAUCAAUAAGCGGAGGAAAAGAAACCAACAGGGAUUGCCUCAGUAACGGCGAGUGAAGCGGCAACAGCUCAAAUUUGAAAUCUGGCUCUUUCAGGGUCCGAGUUGUAAUUUGUAGAAGAUGCUUCGGGUGUGGCUCCGGUCUAAKUUCCUUGGAACAGGACGUCAUAGAGGGUGAGAAUCCCGUAUGUGACUGGUUGCCUUCGCCCAUGUGAAGCUCUUUCGACGAGUCGAGUUGUUUGGGAAUGCAGCUCAAAAUGGGUGGUAAAUUUCAUCUAAAGCUAAAUAUUGGCCAGAGACCGAUAGCGCACAAGUAGAGUGAUCGAAAGAUGAAAAGCACUUUGGAAAGAGAGUUAAACAGUACGUGAAAUUGUUGAAAGGGAAGCGCUUGCAACCAGACUUGCGCCUGGUCGAUCAUCUGGGGUUCUCUCCAGUGCACUCGAUCAGGCUCAGGCCAGCAUCGGUUUGGGUGGUGGGAUAAAGGCCUUGGGAAUGUAGCUUCUUUCGGGGAGUGUUAUAGCCCUCGGUGCAAUGCCGCCUACCUGGACCGAGGACCGCGCUUCGGCUAGGAUGCUGGCGUAAUGGUUGUAAGCGACCCGUCUUGAAACACGGACCAAGGAGUCUAACAUUUAUGCGAGUGUUUGGGUGUUAAACCCAUACGCGUAAUGAAAGUGAACGGAGGUGAGAACCCUUAAGGGUGCAUCAUCGACCGAUCCUGAUGUCUUCGGAUGGAUUUGAGUAAGAGCAUAACUGUUGGGACCCGAAAGAUGGUGAACUAUGCCUGAAUAGGGUGAAGCCAGAGGAAACUCUGGUGGAGGCUCGCAGCGGUUCUGACGUGCAAAUCGAUCGUCAAAUUUGGGUAUAGGGGCGAAAGACUAAUCGAACCAUCUAGUAGCUGGUUCCUGCCGA